This 468-nucleotide ribosomal RNA is filed under the name uncultured bacterium. RNAcentral's name for it is "partial 16S ribosomal RNA". It matches the Rfam family "Bacterial small subunit ribosomal RNA", at positions 28 to 523 of the family's 1533-position model. The record is from RNAcentral.
GAUGAACGCUGGCGGCGUGCCUAACACAUGCAAGUCGAGCGAUUCUCUUCGGAGAAGAGCGGCGGACGGGUGAGUAACGCGUGGGUAACCUGCCCUGUACACACGGAUAACAUACCGAAAGGUAUGCUAAUACGAGAUAAUAUGCUUCUAUCGCAUGGUAGAAGUAUCAAAGCUCUGGCGGUACAGGAUGGACCCGCGUCUGAUUAGCUAGUUGGUAAGGUAACGGCUUACCAAGGCGACGAUCAGUAGCCGACCUGAGAGGGUGAUCGGCCACAUUGGAACUGAGACACGGUCCAAACUCCUGCGGGAGGCAGCAGUGGGGAAUAUUGCACAAUGGGCGAAAGCCUGAUGCAGCAACGCCGCGUGAGCGAUGAAGGCCUUCGGGUCGUAAAGCUCUGUCCUCAAGGAAGAUAAUGACGGUACUUGAGGAGGAAGCCCCGGCUAACUACGUGCCAGCCGCCGCAGUAA